AAUGAGCAGCCACUGCUCCUGUGCUUAGAGCUUCCUGCCUCCAGCACUUGAAGCAGCAGCAUGUGCUCAUUAUCUGAGUUUCCCAGGGUGCUCCACCCCUGGCACAAGGACACCCGGGGAAGGCAGGACCUAUUUAGCAGUGUAACCACCUAAAUGGUCCAGCAGUUCUUGCUCUGGAGAGCCCUCUCAGACGGGCUGGUUGUUACCUGCUCGUUCCCACCACCGACACUUCAGCUCAGACCCCUCUAGAGCAAGUGUGCUUUACACCCUGUGGGUGCACAAGAUUAAUUGUCUGGACAUUAAAAACCUGCAAGGAAACAAGCUGGAGGAUACAAGGACAAAGGAAUGGACGACCCACAUGGGCCAACUAACAGAAGAGGCCUCAGCAAACGAAAAGUAGGAGAUCCAAUCCUGCUGCUGCCAUGAGGUAACAGGCAACAUGACUUCCAACACUGCUGAUGCAAUAGAGAAGGAUGCAGGAGGAAAUCAAUUUCUGACAUGCCACUCACCCACAGAAGACUUGAAGCAUCAAACAGGGUGCCAGUAGCCAUUUCAAAUGUGUGGCCUUUGUGAUGGUCAAGCUCCUGAGCCUCCACUGAACCACACUGUUAAUGCAUUCCCAGUGCUGGAGCUGCCAGGAAGAGGUGGAUGGGUAAUGCCACACACACCCAGCUGGUGCUUGCUGCCCUUGUUAUCAGCUGGCUCAGGUUUCAGUGUUAACUCUGUGCCUGAAAAAAGCCAUAUGCAAUACAGCAGGGCUGACAUCUGGCUGGGAGGUCUUUGAAACAAAUGGGCUCAUCUCAUCCUUCAAUAGGCCUGUUGUACCAGCAGGUCUGGCUGCAGAGUUCAACAAGAUAGAUUCCCAGACCUGUCAGAGCCCUGAAUUCAGUGGCUUUAAUUUCAGGGUUCAAGAUGACUCUGGGAUCCUCAGCCUGCUGAGGCAAUGUAAUCCCCAUCCAAAAUACUCCCCAGGAUUUCAAAGUACACCUGCUGCUGUGCAGCAACUGGUGGUGCUGACCUACAGAUAACUCUUCUUGUAGUGAUGAGGUUAAAGUCUGUAAAACUCAGUGUACAGCAGAGAUCUGCUCUGUUCCUUCUCCCAAACACUGGCUGGCAGAAAUGCCUCUGCUCUCACCUGCGACAGUUCAUCAACUCACAGUGCACCUGGAAUUCCACCAAAAUAUAUAGCCACACACACAGAUAUGUGUAUAGAUAUUUCCACAGAAAUACAGCCACAUCAGAACAUUUAUCCACAUCAUCCCUGCCCAGGCAGAAGAUCUGCAGGAAAAAUAUUGACAACAUGUGUUGCUGCUCGGUAGAAAUGAGGUAGAACCGCCCCCAUUUUCAGGCUCUAAAUGCAAAAUCUCCCCAUUUGCAGAGAUUAAAUAGGCACAAUUGAUCUUUCAUGCAGGAGUCCUCCCCAUCAGCUUUCUCCCAGGUCACCACCACAAGUCAAGAGUAAAUGAGACAUGGUAGUUUCCUCCACAAUGAGUGAAAAAACAGGGAAUAGGCAUGACAGAAAGAAUUUGUUAAAUACUACUUUAAAGAGCCUGUUCUACUCCUCACUGACCCAUGUGUAACUCUCUUACAUCUAGUUGGGACACAUGCAUGAAAAUGAGGAAAGAAUUUGGCAUGUGGGCUUUGAAAAAACAUCUGAGAACGCUCCAGCCUACUAGCACUACUUUUUAAAAUCCAUUAUGUUUUCUCUGGGGCAGUAAAUUAUGUUAUCUUAAUUUAACAGAUAAAAGGAUGGAAGCACUCAGACCCCGCAAGGUAACCUCUCUUUCAGGGGUGGAGCUGUUCAAAAAAGUUUUCAUUAUCAAACUCUUUUGUUUCAGCCCAAGCCUGAUGUCCUGGACACUUUUCUCCUACUGUUCCUUAGCUAUUUUUACUUCUUUUUACCUCUCCAGCAAACAGAACUGUAGAACUGUGAGUGUACCAGCCACAGCAUCUCCAUUUCAAAUGGUUUGGCUCUCCUUUCCACAACAUUAUUUCCUGACUCUUUUUCCAGCCUGCAGCUUGCUGAGCAGAGGAUUAGGAUAAACUGAAUCAGGCAGAAAAAGGUUUUUUUUUCUGGAUGGCCUGCAAAGACUACCUUUUCUCUCUGAGCUCAGGUACCCAGCAGCUCCCUGUUCCUGCCUUGCACUGCAUACACAGAAACCUCCCUAAAUUAUGUGCAUGUGCUCAAAGGGAUUGUUUUGAAAUCAAACCUUCUGAAGUGUGUCUUGAGCCCAGCUCAACUUUGGACACACUGUUGAAAUUUGGAUUUAAUUAAUUCCACUUGAGUUUUGAAAUGGUGCGAUACAUUUUUCAGAGGUUUUUUUCCCCCCAUUUCCUGGAUCAGAGCCUCAACCACAUUCAUGGAAACACUGAAGGGAAAAAAAAAAAAUCCCUAGCAAUAAUUCACCAAGUGGGAACUGAAAACAUUUGCUGAAGAAGAAGGAACCUCUUGGUCUUUGGAUGCUGGGAAUAGUUCAAUCUCUCCUCCCAAUUCCCUAAGGCUCAAGUGGCCCUUUUUCCGGCAGAGCUGUGGUUAUUUGAGCAAGUUGCCCUGGGGACAAGUGCAUGUUACUUGUAGGAUUUGGGCUGGAAAGAUCAAGCACAUGGAUUUGUAGGCAAGAAGAGCUUUGUGUUUUAAUAACUGCCAGCAGCCCCACAGAAGAGACCAAGCUUGCAGGAUGAAAAGCCCUCCUUGGCAGAAUUUAACUCAAAGCACGCAGGGAACAAGAGACAACUUUGUCAGCAUCAUCUCUUUUAACACUGCCUCAUCUUGCAUGCAACAAAUGUACCAUUCCUGGAUCCACAGAAUCUCCACUUUAUGUUUCUCUCCUCCACUGCUGUUAUUUUUUUUGGUUUUUGGAGAUGUUUCAUGGUGUA
Passer domesticus (house sparrow) is the source of this 2877-nucleotide long non-coding RNA. RefSeq lists it as uncharacterized. The transcript is spliced from 4 exons. NCBI's taxonomy places the organism in Eukaryota, Metazoa, Chordata, Aves, Passeriformes, Passeridae. The record is from RefSeq and is a predicted model, not a curated record.